GACGAACGCUGGCGGCGUGCUUAACACAUGCAAGUCGAACGGAAAGGCCCAGCUUGCUGGGUACUCGAGUGGCGAACGGGUGAGUAACACGUGGGUGAUCUGCCCUGCACUCUGGGAUAAGCCUGGGAAACUGGGUCUAAUACCGGAUAUGACCAACUGUCGCAUGGUGGUUGGUGGAAAGCUUUUGCGGUGUGGGAUGGGCCCGCGGCCUAUCAGCUUGUUGGUGGGGUAAUGGCCUACCAAGGCGACGACGGGUAGCCGACCUGAGAGGGUGAUCGGCCACACUGGGACUGAGACACGGCCCAGACUCCUACGGGAGGCAGCAGUGGGGAAUAUUGCACAAUGGGCGCAAGCCUGAUGCAGCGACGCCGCGUGGGGGAUGACGGCCUUCGGGUUGUAAACCUCUUUCACCAGGGACGAAGCGUGAGUGACGGUACCUGGAGAAGAAGCACCGGCCAACUACGU
Molecule: ribosomal RNA, 465 nt
Filed under: uncultured bacterium
Lineage: Bacteria
Description: partial 16S ribosomal RNA
Rfam family: Bacterial small subunit ribosomal RNA
Source: RNAcentral